GUGAACGCUGGCGGUAGGCCUAACCCAUGCCAGUCGAACGGCAGCACAGUAAGAGCUUGCUCUUACGGGUGGCGAGUGGCGGACGGGUGAGGAAUACAUCGGAAUCUACUUUUUCGUGGGGGAUAACGUAGGGAAACUUACGCUAAUACCGCAUACGACCUACGGGUGAAAGCAGGGGAUCUUCGGACCUUGCGCGAUCGAAUGAGCCGAUGUCGGAUUAGCUAGUUGGCGGGGUAAAGGCCCACCAAGGCGACGAUCCGUAGCUGGUCUGAGAGGAUGAUCAGCCACACUGGAACUGAGACACGGUCCAGACUCCUACGGGAGGCAGCAGUGGGGAAUAUUGGACAAUGGGCGCAAGCCUGAUCCAGCCAUACCGCGUGGGUGAAGAAGGCCUUCGGGUUGUAAAGCCCUUUUGUUGGGAAAGAAAAGCAGCAGGUUAAUACCCCGCUGUUCUGACGGUACCCAAAGAAUAAGCACCGGCUAACUUCGUG
This 491-nucleotide ribosomal RNA is filed under the name uncultured bacterium. RNAcentral describes it as "partial 16S ribosomal RNA". It matches the Rfam family "Bacterial small subunit ribosomal RNA", at positions 29 to 507 of the family's 1533-position model. The record is from RNAcentral.